Molecule: non-coding RNA, 703 nt
Organism: Paramuricea clavata
Lineage: Eukaryota; Metazoa; Cnidaria; Anthozoa; Malacalcyonacea; Plexauridae
Source: the annotation of a GenBank genome assembly
UCCAGAUAUAUAUGGGGCUCACUGCCAAUAACCAGUGACGGUCACACCAGUAUAGCCAAUAUAGCCAUGUACAGUUCUUGGACACCCCACUUAAUUUCUUUCGCCCUUCUGGUUCUCGCGUCGAUGUUAUUGCACAAUUGCUGUUUUAUUUUCUAUUCUACGUAUGUGCCCUGUCCACUUCCAGUCUUCUAUCGUAGUCUGUCAAGAUAUGAUGGUCUGGAAAACCGGCAAAUCUGGAAGACCUUUGCUAAGGGCACAAAAUAGAAGUCCUUCGUUUGAUGCUGAACUUUACCUCGUCGUCUUGCACAAAUCCUUUGUCUCAACUUUAAUUUUAUUUAUCGUGGUUGCACGUUUUAUCUCAGCUAUCCUUAUUGGACAAUUACUUUAUUAUACAAAAAUACAAUGAGCUCAAUCACUAUGACCGUGCACAAACAAAAAGAAAAUACAAAAACAUAAUACAAUGACUUCUGUUUAGUUUUCAGACCAUCAUAUCUUGAUAGCCGACUAUGCUUCCCAGGGACGCCGAAACUGGGAGGGCAGGAGGGGCAGCCGCCCCCAUUGCCCUUUAGGGGGGCAAAGGUGCCCUUUCAAUUUAAAAGAUUGCCUUGGCGAAAUAGCGAAUUGUCAGAAAUGUUAGUGCAAUUCUUUUACGAAUUUGCUUUAGAAAACGCAAGAAAUGCAGUCAUCGAGCUUUAAGAAUAGC